This 102-nucleotide non-coding RNA is filed under the name bovine gut metagenome. RNAcentral describes it as "SAM riboswitch (S box leader)". It matches the Rfam family "SAM riboswitch aptamer (S box leader)". From Rfam's summary of the family: The SAM riboswitch is found upstream of a number of genes which code for proteins involved in methionine or cysteine biosynthesis in Gram-positive bacteria. The record is from RNAcentral.
CUUAUCAAGAGUGACGGAGGGUUCAGGCCCGAUGAAGUCCGGCAACCUGCUUUUUCAGACAGGCAAGGUGCCAAUUCCUGCGGCGUCAGCCGAGAGAUGAGG